GCAAUGCCCAGGAGAUGGAGGCUUUUAUUCUUAGAAAUUAUUUCAAUUUCCAAGAACUUUCAAGGCUUUAAUCCUAGGACACAUCAUAUUUGUUAUUUGGUCCCUGCUGCAAAUCUUAUCUAUUUCCUUGGGCAUGGCUAUUUGCCAGACUUCUAAAAAUUCUUGCCUCCAGCUUUUUUUUCCCUCCAGGCCAUCCUGUUAUCUCCAUGUUAUCUGCCAGCUCAAACAUAUUCCAUGAUUCCCUAUUGACCAUCAAAAGCCUACUUACUAUAUGAACUUCCAGUUUGAUCACCUCAGUUCUCCAU
This 305-nucleotide long non-coding RNA is filed under the name Homo sapiens (human). Its description in RNAcentral is "HSALNT0069371". The record is from RNAcentral. Lineage: Eukaryota; Metazoa; Chordata; Mammalia; Primates; Hominidae.